CUGUUCACCCUGGAGGGCUCAGCUAAAUGCCAUGAUAGCUAAUUAUCACCCAGAAGCCCCCAUCCCUACCUGGGCAGGGUCCCCUGCAAGAGGCUUUUGUAGCGCAGUGAUCAGCACUUCUGCAGAAUGGGACCCAUCCACGUUGCGGCAUCACCAUCUGCAUCCUACUCUGUCCCUGCAGCAGACUGAAAGUGUUCUCAGGGCAGGAACUUUCUCAGGUACCUGAGGCCUCUUGCUGGGGUUUCCUCCAACACACUCCCACUUUGGCUAGAAUUCCAUGCUCCCUGCUCUCUCCUCAGCUCAAGCUGCCAUGUUAUAAGGAAGCCUCCACAUACACCCUCCAGGGUGACUUCCAGCCAACAGCUGGUGACGAACUGAAGCUCUCAGUCCAACGCCCCACGAGGAGUGGAAUCCUGCUGAAAACCACGGAGUGAGCUUGGAAAUGGAUCUCGUCCCAGUCAAGCCUUUAGAUGACUGCAGCCCCCCUCAACACCUUGAUUGUAGCUUGUGAGACCUUGUGAGCCAGAGGACUCAGCUAAACUGUGCCCAGAUUCCAGAGUCACAGACAUAAUGUGACAUAGCUCAUGCUUUUAUUUUAAUCCACUAAAGUUAGAGUAACGUGUUAUGCUGCAAUAGGUAAGUAACACAUUAUUGACCAGAAAUGUAUUAAUAUGUCUUUAGUUACCUGAAUGCUAUUGACUAGAGUGCCUCAAUAUAUAUACUUGUGUGUUCACUUACGUAACAAAUUAUAGGCCACAGGUGUCAGUUUCUGCAAA
Molecule: long non-coding RNA, 776 nt
Organism: Capra hircus (goat)
Lineage: Eukaryota; Metazoa; Chordata; Mammalia; Artiodactyla; Bovidae
Exons: 3
Source: RefSeq, a predicted model, not a curated record